RNAcentral lists this long non-coding RNA (715 nucleotides) under Sarcophilus harrisii (Tasmanian devil). RNAcentral's name for it is "lncRNA (ENSSHAG00000023567.1)". The record is from RNAcentral. Lineage: Eukaryota; Metazoa; Chordata; Mammalia; Dasyuromorphia; Dasyuridae.
GAUGGGUGCCUGAGGCCGGCCAGCGGGACCGGGAAUGGGGCUGAGUCAUCACUAGAGAGUGGGAAGGGCAGCAGCAGCAAAAGAGAAUCCAAACCCCAAAGCUGAUAUCUCAAAGUAUCUUUUCUUGAAGUUGAGGGCUCAGAGGGGAGCCAUCAUGAGCGAUGUUACCAUUGUGAAAGAAGGUUGGGUUCAGAAGAGGGAGACCUCUUUGGUGGAGCCUACAGGAGGAGAGGAAGCACAAGAUUCAUAAGAUGGCGGGCGGCCAUCAAGCAUUUUUUGGAAGAGAUAUCGACAUCACUGCUCAAAGAUGAAUGAUGACAACUGGCCAAUGAAUUGUGUUCCACAGACAUCAUCACAGAAUUGAAAGCUCUCAAUUUGCUACUGCAGGGAAAAGGAAAAAAAAAAUGGACUUGCCUAAGAAAUUAAUGACAGCUUGCUAAAAUUUAGUUUUGGAGGAAAAAAAGCACUUGAAAACUCUAAAUAUUUAUUGAGCAUUUACUAUGUGGAAAUACUUUCAUUUUAAAUAUAAUUUCAGGUUUAACUUCACCAUUACACUGUUGACAUAUCCCUUUUAAAAAAAUUCAAAAAUUGGUUGUCAUUUUUUAAACUAUGCAUUUUUCCAAGAUACUUAUGGAAUGGAAUGGUGAAGUCAUUGAGAAUUGUGUACUCUUCUUUUACCUGGACAUUGAAACUCUUUUACUGGAGAUGAUUGAAU